GCCGGAGUAGCUCAGUCGGCAGAGCGACGCACUCGUAAUGCGUAGGUCAGGGGUUCGAUUCCCCUCUCCGGCU
This 73-nucleotide transfer RNA is filed under the name Acidimicrobiia bacterium. Its description in RNAcentral is "tRNA-Thr". It matches the Rfam family "tRNA". From Rfam's summary of the family: Transfer RNA (tRNA) molecules are approximately 80 nucleotides in length. Their secondary structure includes four short double-helical elements and three loops (D, anti-codon, and T loops). Further hydrogen bonds mediate the characteristic L-shaped molecular structure. tRNAs have two regions of fundamental functional importance: the anti-codon, which is responsible for specific mRNA codon recognition, and the 3' end, to which the tRNAs corresponding amino acid is attached (by aminoacyl-tRNA synthetases). tRNAs cope with the degeneracy of the genetic code in two manners: having more than one tRNA (with a specific anti-codon) for a particular amino acid; and 'wobble' base-pairing, i.e. permitting non-standard base-pairing at the 3rd anti-codon position. RNAcentral also lists the same sequence under 1 other name. Lineage: Bacteria; Bacillati; Actinomycetota; Acidimicrobiia. The record is from RNAcentral.